GUCCACGCCCUAACGAUGAUUACUCGUUGUCGGCAAUAGACCGUCGGUGACCAAGCGAAGCGUUAAGUAAUCCACCUGGGGAGUACGUUCGCAAGAAUGAACUCAAGGAAUUGACGGGCCCGCACAAGCGGAGGAGCAUGUGGUUUAAUUCGAUGAUACGCGAGGAACCUUACCCGGGCUUGAAAGUUAGUGAAGGAUUCAGAAAUGGGUUCGUCCGCAAGGACACGAAACUAGGUGCUGCAUGGCUGUCGU
Molecule: ribosomal RNA, 252 nt
Filed under: uncultured bacterium
Lineage: Bacteria
Description: partial 16S ribosomal RNA
Rfam family: Bacterial small subunit ribosomal RNA
Source: RNAcentral